Molecule: ribosomal RNA, 2173 nt
Filed under: human metagenome
Description: bacterial LSU rRNA
Rfam family: Bacterial large subunit ribosomal RNA
Source: RNAcentral
GGCGUUGCAUAUACGGGGUAGAGGGAACAUACUGGGCUGAAGCCAUAAGGUCGAGUUGAUCAUGAUGUAAGCGGAACGCGGCUGGAAAGCCGGACCGUAGGAGGUGAGAGUCCUGUAGAGCGUAAAGUCAUGACGGCUUGUAUGUAAUCCCGAGUAGCAUCGGACACGAGGAAUCCGGUGUGAAUCAGCGUGGACCAUAUCACGUAAGGCUAAAUACUUCCGCCGACCGAUAGAGGAGAGUACCGUGAGGGAAAGGUGAAAAGAACCCUGAGCAAGGGAGUGAAAUAGAAUUUGAAACCGUGUGCUUACAAGCGGUAGGAGCCCUUAGGGGUGACUGCGUGGAUUUUGGUUAAUCAUCCUGCGAGUUAUGAUGUGUGGCGAGGUUAAGUGUAAGCGGAGCCGAAGGGAAACCGAGUCUUAAUAGGGCGACGAGUCGCAUGUCAUAGACGCGAAACCUAGUGAUCUAGGCCUGUCCAGGCUGAAGCUGAGGUAAGACUCAGUGGAGGGCCGAACUCACCGCCGUUGAAAAGUUGGGAGAUGAGAUAGGUCUAGGGGUGAAAAGCCAAUCGAACUAGGAGAUAGCUCGUUCUCUCCGAAAUGCAUUUAGGUGCAGCCUUGGUUGAAGAUAUGCGGGGGUAGAGCACUGUAUGGCCUAGGGGGCGUAUAGCUUACCGAAGUCAAGCAAACUGCGAAUACCGUAUAUUGUUUACCAGGAGUGAGUCUACGGAUGACAAGGUCCGUGGACGAGAGGGGAACAGCCCGGACCGCCAGCUAAGGUCCCAAAUUAUGUCUAAGUGGGAAAGGAGGUGGAUAUUCACAGACAACCAGGAGGUUGGCUUAGAAGCAGCCAUACCUUGAAAGAGUGCGUAAUAGCUCACUGGUCGAGAGUAUCUGCGCCGAAGAUAUAACGGGGCUAAGACAUAAACCGAAGCUGCGGAAGCGUGGUAACACGUUUGGUAGGAGAGCGUUCUGUAGGCCGUAGAAGGUGUCCUGAAAGGGAUGCUGGAGGUAUCAGAAGUGAGAAUGCAGGAAUGAGUAGCGAGAAGGAGGGCGAGAAUCCCUCCGGCCGGAAGUCCAAGGUUUCCAGGGGAAGGUUUGUCCGCCCUGGGGGAGUCGGGACCUAAGCAUAAGCAGAGCUGCGAAGGCGAAUGGAAAACAGGUUAAUAUUCCUGUACCGCUGUGUACUGACUGAGAGAUGGAGUGACGCAGGAAGGUAUGCGGGAAGGCUGACGGAAUAGCCUUUCUAAGGGUGAAGCGUGGACAUAUAGGCAAAUCCGUAUGUUUAAACGUGAGGCCUGACGGGUAAGUGCCAUAGGGCAUAAGCCGCAGAUCCUACACUGCCGGGAAAAACUUCUAUUUAGGGAAGCAGCGCCCGUACUGUAAACCGACACAGGUGGACAGAGUGAGAAACUUAAGGCCGACAGGAUAACUCUGGCUAAGGAACUCUGCAAAAUGGCCCCGUAACUUAGGGAGAAGGGGUGCCCGUGGUACCUGAAGGGGGAGACACCCGGAGGGGAAACGGGCCGCAGUGAAGAGUCCCAAGCAACUGUUUACCAAAAACACAGGUCUAUGCUAAGCCGGAAGGCGACGUAUAUGGGCUGACACCUGCCCAGUGCCGGAAGGUUAAGAGGAGGAUUGAGAGAUUCGAAUUGAAGCCCCGGUGAACGGCGGCCGUAACUAUAACGGUCCUAAGGUAGCGAAAUUCCUUGUCGGGUAAGUUCCGACCUGCACGAAUGGUGAAAUGAUUUGGGAGCUGUCUUGGCCGGAGACCUGGUGAAGUUGUAAUGCCGGUGAAGAUACCGGUUACCUGCAGUAGGACGGAAAGACCCCGUGGAGCUUUACUGUAGCCUGGCAUUGGGUUUCGGCAAUGUGUGUAUAGGAUAGCUGGGAGGCUAAGAAGAUAUGGCGUCAGCUGUAUUGGAGCCGCUGUUGGAAUACCAGCCACGCAUUGUUGGGAUUCUAAUCUCAAGAGAUGGGAGACAGUGCUAGGUGGGCAGUUUGACUGGGGCGGUCGCCUCCAAAAGAGUAACGGAGGCGUUCAAAGGUUCCCUCAGGCUGGAUGGAAAUCAGCCGUAGAGUGCAAACGCAAAAGGGAGCUUGACUGCGAGACUGACGGGUCGAGCAGGCACGAAAGUGGGAGUUAGUGAUCCGGCGGUUCUGAAUGGAAAGGCCG